Molecule: non-coding RNA, 110 nt
Organism: Podospora fimiseda
Lineage: Eukaryota; Fungi; Ascomycota; Sordariomycetes; Sordariales; Podosporaceae
Source: the annotation of a GenBank genome assembly
GUCACUUUGGCCGAGUGGUUAAGGCGCGGGCCUGCUAUAUUCAUCACGUGAUGAUGAUUAACGCAUAGCUCGUCUCUUCGGAGGCGCAGGUUCGAAUCCUGCAGGUGACG